UGGGGAAUAUUGCACAAUGGGCGAAAGCCUGAUGCAGCAACGCCGCGUGCGGGAUGACGGCCUUCGGGUUGUAAACCGCUUUCAGCAGGGACGAAGGUUUUCUGACGGUACCUGCAGAAGAAGCACCGGCUAACUACGUGCCAGCAGCCGCGGUGAUACGUAGGGUGCGAGCGUUGUCCGGAAUUAUUGGGCGUAAAGAGCUUGUAGGCGGUCCGUUGCGUCGGAAGUGAAAACUCAGGGCUUAACCCUGAGCCUGCUUUCGAUACGGGCGGACUUGAGGGAUGUAGGGGAGAACGGAAUUCCUGGUGGAGCGGUGGAAUGCGCAGAUAUCAGGAGGAACACCAGUGGCGAAGGCGGUUCUCUGGACAUUUCCUGACGCUGAGAAGCGAAAGCGUGGGGAGCAAAACAGGCUUAGAUACCCUGGUAGUCCACGCCGUAAACGGUGGGCACUAGGUGUGGGACCCAUUCCACGGGUUCCGUGCCGUAGCUAACGCAUUAAGUGCCCCGCCUGGGGAGUACGGCCGCAAGGCUAAAACUUAAAGGAAUUGACGGGGUCAUAGCUGUUU
This 566-nucleotide ribosomal RNA is filed under the name uncultured bacterium. Its description in RNAcentral is "partial 16S ribosomal RNA". It matches the Rfam family "Bacterial small subunit ribosomal RNA", at positions 355 to 935 of the family's 1533-position model. The record is from RNAcentral.